Molecule: non-coding RNA, 917 nt
Filed under: Pan troglodytes (chimpanzee)
Lineage: Eukaryota; Metazoa; Chordata; Mammalia; Primates; Hominidae
Source: RNAcentral
GCAUGCAGGUGAGAAGGGAAGAUACGUGUAAUCUGCAUGUCUGCCAACAUUCCUUGUUACCCUUUUUCAUAUCCCAUGAACACAGCACUCCAGCGGACCUACCCAAAAUAUGUGGGAGUUCAGUGAAACUCAAACAGCAUGCUUCUGGUCAGCCUAUACAGUCUCUGUCCUGGUGAGGAGCAUGAUCACCAACAGGCAAGAUCUUCUGGCCUCGAAGUUUCGCUUGAGCUAAAAGAGCUCAUCUCAGGACUUUCUGAAUUUUCAGCCCAUAUGACAUGGAAGAAGAGUUAGAAGGGGAAUCUGACUGCUUGGAUCAGGGACUGUCUGGCUAGUGGAACUUGAAUGUAUACAACACUCUUCAUUUUCAUGUUUUGACAUUUUAAAAAAUGUUUUCACUUUCCUUAUCUACUUUGACUCUAAUAACAUCCUGAAAGAUGCUGUUGUCCUCUUUCUGGACCUUAGAGAUGUACAGUGCACCACUUUGAGGAUCAAGUCUGACCCUGCCUUUAAAUUUGGAUUCAAAGUACUUAGAUUUUCUGGAAUCCCAUUCUACAAUCUUCUGGUCGAAAGUAUAAAACCAGCAUUGGCCAGCUUGAGAAAUAAAGGGACAGAGUACAAAAGAGAGAAAUUUUAAAGCUGAGCAUCUGGGGGAGACAUCACAUGUUGUCUGCAGGUGUACCCAACAGCUCCGAAGAGACAGUGACAUCAAGAACGGGCCAUGAUGAUGAUGGCGGUUUUGUCGAAAAGAAAAGGGGGAAAUGUGGGGAAAAGCAAGAGAGAUCAGAUUGUUACUGUGUCUGUAUAGAAAGAAGUAGACAUAGGAGACUCCAUUUUGUUCUGUACUAAGAAAAAUUCUUCUGCCUUGAGAUGCUGUUAAUCUAUGACCUUACCCCCAACCCCGUGCUCUCUGAAACAUG